AGCCUGAACGCUGGCGGCGUGGUUAAGACAUGCAAGUCGCACGGAGCCGUAGCAAUACGGUUCAGUGGCGCACGGGUGAGUAAUGAAUCGCUAACGUGCCCCGGACUCUGGGAUAGCCAUCCGAAAGGGUGGGUAAUACCAGAUGAGACCACAUGGUCGCAUGACCGUGUGCUCAAGGUCCGCGGUCUGGGAGCGGGCGAUUUCGUAUCAGCUAGUGGUGCGGGUAACGGCCCACCAAGGCGACGACGCGUAGCCGGACUGAGAGGUCGGUCGGCCACAUCGGGACUGAGACACUGCCCGGACUCCUACGGGGGGGCUGCAGUAACGAAUCUCGUCAAUGCACGAAAGUGUGAACGAGCGACGCCGCGUGAGGAUGAAGUCCGUUCGGGAUGUAAACUCCUAGUCGACGGGUUAACCAAAGUUCCUGAGGACGCCCCCAGGAACGGAAGGAGGGCGGACUAAACGU
RNAcentral lists this ribosomal RNA (466 nucleotides) under uncultured soil bacterium. Its description in RNAcentral is "bacterial SSU rRNA". It matches the Rfam family "Bacterial small subunit ribosomal RNA", at positions 26 to 504 of the family's 1533-position model. The record is from RNAcentral.